Molecule: ribosomal RNA, 253 nt
Filed under: uncultured bacterium
Lineage: Bacteria
Description: partial 16S ribosomal RNA
Rfam family: Bacterial small subunit ribosomal RNA
Source: RNAcentral
UACGAAGGGGGCUAGCGUUGCUCGGAAUCACUGGGCGUAAAGCGCACGUAGGCGGAUUGUUAAGUCAGGGGUGAAAUCCUGGAGCUCAACUCCAGAACUGCCUUUGAUACUGGCGAUCUCGAGUCCGGGAGAGGUGAGUGGAACUGCGAGUGUAGAGGUGAAAUUCGUAGAUAUUCGCAAGAACACCAGUGGCGAAGGCGGCUCACUGGCCCGGUACUGACGCUGAGGUGUGAAAGCGUGGGGAGCAAACAGG